GGGUGCGUAACGCGUGGGAAUCUGCCCUUGGGUCUGGAAUAACAGUUAGAAAUGACUGCUAAUACCAGAUGAUGACUUCGGUCCAAAGAUUUAUCGCCCAGGGAUGAGCCCGCGUCGGAUUAGCUAGUUGGUGAGGUAAAAGCUCACCAAGGCGACGAUCCGUAGCUGGUCUGAGAGGAUGAUCAGCCACACUGGGACUGAGACACGGCCCAG
RNAcentral lists this ribosomal RNA (213 nucleotides) under uncultured bacterium. RNAcentral describes it as "partial 16S ribosomal RNA". It matches the Rfam family "Bacterial small subunit ribosomal RNA", at positions 104 to 334 of the family's 1533-position model. The record is from RNAcentral.